RNAcentral lists this ribosomal RNA (492 nucleotides) under uncultured bacterium. Its description in RNAcentral is "partial 16S ribosomal RNA". It matches the Rfam family "Bacterial small subunit ribosomal RNA", at positions 28 to 507 of the family's 1533-position model. The record is from RNAcentral.
GAUGAACGCUAGCUACAGGCCUAACACAUGCAAGUCGAGGGGACACGCCAUCGAAAGCUUGCUUUUGCUGGGCGUCGACCGGCGCACGGGUGAGUAACGCGUAUCCCACAUGCCCACCACUUAGGGAUAACCUUGCGAAAGUAAUACUAAUACCCAUUGACGUCUCUAGAAGACAUCUGAAAGAGAUUAAUGUUUUAUCGGUUAUAGAUGGGGAUGCGUCUGAUUAGCUUGUUGGCGGGGUAACGGCACACCAAGGCGACGAUGAGUAGGGGAUCUGAGAGGAAGCCACACCAGAAUGGAGACGCGGUCCGGACCAAUAUCCGACGGAAGGGAGGAGAGAGGAACAUUGUGCGAUGGAGCAGAGUCGGACCAAGCCAAGUGGGGUGCAGGAGGACGGCCAUAGUGGUUGUAAACUGCUUUUAUAAGAGAAAAAAGUGAGUCUCGUGAGACUUUUUGCAGGUACCUAAUGAAUAAGGACCGGCUAACUCCGUG